This 484-nucleotide ribosomal RNA is filed under the name uncultured bacterium. RNAcentral's name for it is "partial 16S ribosomal RNA". It matches the Rfam family "Bacterial small subunit ribosomal RNA", at positions 30 to 507 of the family's 1533-position model. The record is from RNAcentral.
AUUGAACGCUGGCGGCAGGCCUAACACAUGCAAGUCGAGCGGAUGAAGGGAGCUUGCUCCUGGAUUCAGCGGCGGACGGGUGAGUAAUGCCUAGGAAUCUGCCUGGUAGUGGGGGAUAACGUCCGGAAACGGGCGCUAAUACCGCAUACGUCCUGAGGGAGAAAGUGGGGGAUCUUCGGACCUCACGCUAUCAGAUGAGCCUAGGUCGGAUUAGCUAGUUGGUGGGGUAAAGGCCUACCAAGGCGACGAUCCGUAACUGGUCUGAGAGGAUGAUCAGUCACACUGGAACUGAGACAGGGUCAAUACUCCUACGGGAGGCAGCAGUGGGGAAUAUUGGACAAUGGGCGAAAGCCUGAUCCAGCCAUGCCGCGUGUGUGAAGAAGGUCUUCGGAUUGUAAAGCACUUUAAGUUGGGAGGAAGGGCAGUAAGUUAAUACCUUGCUGUUUUGACGUUACCAACAGAAUAAGCACCGGCUAACUUCGUG